Long non-coding RNA from Bubalus bubalis (water buffalo), 725 nucleotides. RefSeq lists it as uncharacterized. The transcript has 3 exons. The record is from RefSeq and is a predicted model, not a curated record. Lineage: Eukaryota; Metazoa; Chordata; Mammalia; Artiodactyla; Bovidae.
CUAAGAUCCUCCUGUACCUGUGCAGUAUGGCCAAAAAUAAUUUUUUGAAAUAAAUAAAAGUCCAAAUUCUAACAACAGGAAGGCAUCAUCAUCUAACAACAGGAAGAAACAUCAUCAGGAUGGAGAAAUAUCACAAAUACACCAACACGGCAGACUUGAUAUUCUUAAAGAGGCAGUUUAAACCUGGAGGCCAAUCAAGAGAUCAUGUGGCAAGCUGUCACCUCUCUUAGCAGACAGUCCUUGUUGGAUCUCCACCUCAAAGAGUAAUCAAGGACAGGGCGUGUGGCACAGCUGCCCGAUAAGCCUCUGUGUGUCUUGGAUUUACAGAGAAAAGUCAUCAAUAAGGAUAAAAGCUGGAUGGAGUAAAGAUCAGACCCCAGAAAAAAGAACUUCAUAUGAGUUCUGGAGGCUGCAGGGAGCCAUCAGAGGCUUUGGAGCAGAGCUCCACACACAGUUUGAACUGUGAUUUAGAAAAAGUAACUGGGCAGUAACGACAAUGAGAAAGACGCUCUAGAAAUAACAUCGAUGGAAACCAUGGUGACCAAGGUGAGGAAGGAGUCAAAAAGUUGGCAGCACUCACAUCUCUGAGAUCAUCCGAAUGGAAUGCAGCAGGUGAAGUCAAAGGUCUGGAACACUGAGGAAGACAGAAGAAUCUGAACAACGGCUCUGAGAAUGGACAGAGAUUAGAGGCCAUCAAGGAGAAACCGGCCUGGAAGCCCAGGGUA